Molecule: ribosomal RNA, 254 nt
Filed under: uncultured bacterium
Lineage: Bacteria
Description: partial 16S ribosomal RNA
Rfam family: Bacterial small subunit ribosomal RNA
Source: RNAcentral
GACAGAGGGUGCAAACGUUGUUCGGAAUUACUGGGCGCAAAGCGCGUGUAGGCGGCCAGCGUAAGUCGGGCGUGAAAGCCCCAGGCUCAACCUGGGAACUGCACUCGAAACUGCGUUUCUUGAGUAUCGGAGAGGAAAGCGGAAUACCUGGUGUAGAGGUGAAAUUCGUAGAUAUCAGGUGGAACACCAGUGGCGAAGGCGGCUUUCUGGACGAUUACUGACGCUGAGACGCGAAAGCGUGGGGAGCAAACAGG